This 774-nucleotide ribosomal RNA is filed under the name uncultured Neocallimastigales. RNAcentral's name for it is "partial large subunit ribosomal RNA". It matches the Rfam family "Eukaryotic large subunit ribosomal RNA", at positions 26 to 616 of the family's 3401-position model. Lineage: Eukaryota; Fungi; Neocallimastigomycota; Neocallimastigomycetes; Neocallimastigales. The record is from RNAcentral.
CGCAUCUGUGCAUGCAGCAUAUCAAUAAGCGGAGGAAAAGAAACUAACAAGGACUCCCCUAGUAACGGCGGGUGAAGCGGGAAGAGCUCAAAUUUGAAAUCUUAAAGGGUUUCCCUUUACGAAUUGUAGUUUAAAGAAGUGUUUUCUGUUGAGGUUUUGGUAAAAGUUCUUUGGAAUAGGACAUCAUAGAGGGUGGGAAUCCCGUAUUUGACCUUUACUUUCAACUUUGUGAUACACUUUCAAAGAGUCGGAUUGUUUGGGAAUGCAGUCCAAAAUGGGUGGUAAAUUUCAUCUAAAGCUAAAUAUUGGCGAGAGACCGAUAGCGAACAAGUACCGUGAGGGAAAGAUGAAAAGAACUUUGAAAAGAGAGUUAAACAGUACGUGAAAUUGUCAAAAGGGAAGCGUUUGACACCAGUGUUGUUUUUCUGAAAAUCAAUUAAAGAACUGUUUAUGCUAAGCUGUUUAGACUUUAUCAGCUAACUGUUUAGUUUUGAGCUUUUCUUUAAUGCACUUUUCAGUUAACAAGUCAACAUCAAUUUCUUUUGCUGUAAAAAAGCUUGAGGAAGGUGGCUUGAGAUUCGUCUUAAGUGUUUAUAGCCUCUUGCCUAUGCAGUCGGAGAGAUUGAGGUCUGCAGCGUAGAUCCUUCGGGGCUAAAUGCAUUUGUGCUAAGUUAUAGCAUUUUAUAGACAACUUGUUGACUAUGAUUUGUCUUGUAGCUUUCUCGCUUAUGUUAUUUUACCUACGCUUAGGAUGUUGAGCGCAUGUCUCUCUCU